This 465-nucleotide ribosomal RNA is filed under the name uncultured bacterium. RNAcentral's name for it is "bacterial SSU rRNA". It matches the Rfam family "Bacterial small subunit ribosomal RNA", at positions 28 to 507 of the family's 1533-position model. The record is from RNAcentral.
GAUGAACGCUGGCGGCGUGCUUAACACAUGCAAGUCGAACGGGCGGAGGGAGCUUGCUCCCGAAGCUAGUGGCGGACGGGUGAGUAACGCGUGGGUAACCUGCCUCAUACAGGGGGAUAACAGUGAGAAAUUACUGCUAAUACCGCAUAUGCGCACAGUACCGCAUGGUACAGUGUGGAAAACUCCGGUGGUAUGAGAUGGACCCGCGUUGGAUUAGCUAGUUGGUGAGGUAGAGGCUCACCAAGGCGACGAUCCAUAGCCGGCCUGAGAGGGUGGACGGCCACAUUGGGACUGAGAUACGGCCCAGACUCCUACGGGAGGCAGCAGUGGGGAAUAUUGGGCAAUGGGGGAAACCCUGACCCAGCAACGCCGCGUGAAGGAAGAAGGCCUUCGGGUUGUAAACUUCUUAUAGCAGGGACGAAGAAAGUGACGGUACCUGCAGAAAAAGCAACGGCUAACUACGUG